CGAGUCUUAACUGGGCGAAUGAGUUGCAGGGUAUAGACCCGAAACCCGGUGAUCUAGCCAUGGGCAGGUUGAAGGUUGGGUAACACUAACUGGAGGACCGAACCGACUAAUGUUGAAAAAUUAGCGGAUGACUUGUGGCUGGGGGUGAAAGGCCAAUCAAACCGGGAGAUAGCUGGUUCUCCCCGAAAGCUAUUUAGGUAGCGCCUCGUGAACUCAUCUUCGGGGGUAGAGCACUGUUUCGGCUAGGGGGUCAUCCCGACUUACCAACCCGAUGCAAACUACGAAUACCGAAGAAUGUUAUCACGGGAGACACACGGCGGGUGCUAACGUUCGUCGUGAAGAGGGAAACAACCCAGACCGCCAGCUAAGGUCCCAAAGUCAUGGUUAAGUGGGAAACGAAGUGGGAAGGCUCAGACAGCCAGGAUGUUGGCUUAGAAGCAGCCAUCAUUUAAAGAAAGCGUAAUAGCUCACUGGUCGAGUCGGCCUGCGCGGAAGA
RNAcentral lists this ribosomal RNA (496 nucleotides) under Providencia stuartii. RNAcentral's name for it is "partial 23S ribosomal RNA". It matches the Rfam family "Bacterial large subunit ribosomal RNA", at positions 678 to 1170 of the family's 2925-position model. The record is from RNAcentral. Lineage: Bacteria; Pseudomonadati; Pseudomonadota; Gammaproteobacteria; Enterobacterales; Morganellaceae.